CCUACGGGUGGCAGCAGUGGGGAAUAUUGCACAAUGGGGGAAACCCUGAUGCAGCGACGCCGCGUGAGUGAAGAAGUAUUUCGGUAUGUAAAGCUCUAUCAGCAGGGAAGAAAAUGACGGUACCUGACUAAGAAGCCCCGGCUAACUACGUGCCAGCAGCCGCGGUAAUACGUCGGGGGCAAGCGUUAUCCGGAUUUACUGGGGGUAAAGGGAGCGUAGACGGCAGCACAAGUCCGGAGGGAAAUGCCGGGGCUUAACCCCGGAACGGCCUUGGAAACUGUGCAGCUUGAGUGCAGGAAGGGUAGGUGGAAUGCCUGGUGUAGCGGUGAAAUGCGUAGAUAUUAGGAAGAACACCAAUGGCGAAGGCGGCUUACUGGACUGUAACUGACGUUGAGGCUCGAAAGCGUGGGGAGCAAACAGGAUUAGAUACCCGAGUAGUC
RNAcentral lists this ribosomal RNA (440 nucleotides) under uncultured bacterium. Its description in RNAcentral is "partial 16S ribosomal RNA". It matches the Rfam family "Bacterial small subunit ribosomal RNA", at positions 338 to 795 of the family's 1533-position model. The record is from RNAcentral.